This 135-nucleotide ribosomal RNA is filed under the name Escherichia coli. RNAcentral describes it as "partial 23S ribosomal RNA". It matches the Rfam family "Bacterial large subunit ribosomal RNA", at positions 1 to 134 of the family's 2925-position model. Lineage: Bacteria; Pseudomonadati; Pseudomonadota; Gammaproteobacteria; Enterobacterales; Enterobacteriaceae. The record is from RNAcentral. RNAcentral also lists the same sequence under 1 other name.
GGUUAAGCGACUAAGCGUACACGGUGGAUGCCCUGGCAGUCAGAGGCGAUGAAGGACGUGCUAAUCUGCGAUAAGCGUCGGUAAGGUGAUAUGAACCGUUAUAACCGGCGAUUUCCGAAUGGGGAAACCCAGUGU